RNAcentral lists this ribosomal RNA (823 nucleotides) under uncultured archaeon. Its description in RNAcentral is "bacterial SSU rRNA". It matches the Rfam family "Archaeal small subunit ribosomal RNA", at positions 83 to 922 of the family's 1478-position model. The record is from RNAcentral.
UCCUCACAUAACCAUAAGAUGCAACUUACCCUAUUGAAGAAAGAUAACCUUUGAAUUGGCUUGGAAAAGUUUUUCAACAAAAGGGAUAGGGAAAAUGGUCUCUAUCCGCUAUAGGAUAGGAUCGUGUUCGAUUAUGGUAGUUGGUGAGGUAACGGCUCACCAAGCCGAUAAUCGAUAGGGGCCGUGAGAGCGGGAGCCCCGAGAUGGGUACUGAGACAACGACCCAGGCCUUACGAGGCGCAGCAGGUACGAAACCUCCACAAUACACGAAAGUGUGAUGGGGUUACCCAAAGUGUUCAUUAUUGAACUGUGGUAGGAGAGUAAUGUCCCCUACUAGAAAGGAGAGGGCAAGGCUGGUGCCAGCCGCCGCGGUAAAACCAGCUCUUCAAGUGGUCGGGAUAAUUAUUGGGCUUAAAGUGUCCGUAGCCGGUUUGGUAAGUUCCUGGUAAAAUCGGAUAGCUUAACUAUCUGUAUGCUAGGAAUACUGCUAUACUAGAGGGCGGGAGAGGUCUGAGGUACUACAGGGGUAGAGGUGAAAUCUUAUAAUCCUUGUAGGACCACCAGUGGCGAAGGCGUCAGACUGGAACGCGCCUGACGGUGAGGGACGAAAGCCAGGGGAGCGAACCGGAUUAGAUACCCGGGUAGUCCUGGCCGUAAACGAUGCAUACUAGGUGAUGGUACGGCUAUGAGCCAUAUCAGUGCCGUAGGGAAACCGUUAAGUGUGCCGCCUGGGAAGUACGGUCGCAAGGCUAAAACUUAAAGGAAUUGGCGGGGGAGCACCACAAGGGGUGAAGCCUGCGGUUCAAUUGGAUUCAACGCCGGG